CCUACGGGAGGCAGCAGUGAGGAAUAUUGGUCAAUGGGCGUAAGCCUGAACCAGCCAAGUCGCGUGAGGGAUGAAGGUUCUAUGGAUCGUAAACCUCUUUUAUAAGGGAAUAAAGUGCGGGACGUGUCCCGUUUUGUAUGGACAUUAUGAAUAAGGAUCGGCAAACUCCGUGCCAGCAGCGGCGGUAAUACGGAGGAUCCGAGCGUUAUCCGGAUUUAUUGGGUGUAAAGGGUGAGUAGGCGGCCUUUUAAGUCAGCGGGGAAAGUCUGUGGCUCAACCAUAGAAUUGCCGUGGAAACUGGGAGGCUUGAGUAUGUUUGAGGCAGGCGGAAUGCGUGGUGUAGCGGUGAAAUGCUUAGAUAUCACGCAGAACCCCGAUUGCGAAGGCAGCCUGCCAAGCCAUGACUGACGCUGAUGCACGAAAGCGUGGGGAUCAAACAGGAUUAGAUACCCGUGUAGUC
RNAcentral lists this ribosomal RNA (460 nucleotides) under uncultured bacterium. Its description in RNAcentral is "partial 16S ribosomal RNA". It matches the Rfam family "Bacterial small subunit ribosomal RNA", at positions 338 to 795 of the family's 1533-position model. The record is from RNAcentral.